RNAcentral lists this ribosomal RNA (253 nucleotides) under uncultured bacterium. RNAcentral describes it as "partial 16S ribosomal RNA". It matches the Rfam family "Bacterial small subunit ribosomal RNA", at positions 524 to 776 of the family's 1533-position model. The record is from RNAcentral.
UACGUAGGCAGCAAGCGUUGUUCGGAAUUACUGGGCGUAAAGAGUGUGUAGGCGGUGCUCCAAGUCUGGUGUGAAAUCUCCCGGCUUAACUGGGAGGGUGCAUUAGAAACUGGAAUGCUAGAGGAUGGGAGGGGUAAGCGGAAUUCCUGGUGUAGCGGUGAAAUGCGUAGAUAUCAGGAGGAACACCUGUGGUGUAGACAGCUUACUGGACCAUUUCUGACGCUGAGACACGAAAGCGUGGGUAGCAAACAGG